Long non-coding RNA from Bradysia coprophila, 833 nucleotides. RefSeq lists it as uncharacterized. Lineage: Eukaryota; Metazoa; Arthropoda; Insecta; Diptera; Sciaridae. The record is from RefSeq and is a predicted model, not a curated record.
GUGCAUGCUGAACGAACACUGCUUGUGGACAUCUAACUUAAGUACCUUUAUAUCAACAAGUUCCGAACUUGGAAAGAAUAUGUAUCAGGAUGGUAUCUACCGUAUAGUUAUCUCUCAGUAGCCGUUCGGGUGUUACAAGGAAAUAGGGCAAUCAAACCAAUCCUCGGACAAGAUUGACUCGACAGACACAAAUUGUUCUCCAAUUCAUAAAAAAAAGCUUAUUAAUGAAAGAGUAAUAGGUGUCCGAGGACUUAUUCUUGGCCGAAGAUUGGUACACCUACCCGACCUACCCUGUGUGGAUCGAGACAGAACACCUAUUUUUGAUCGAAACAAUCAGCUAUUCCAGUUAAUGCAAUUUAUUCCAAUUUUUCUUUGGUUCUUCUGUUUGACAGUAUGUAUAACAGAAGAAAAGUUUGAGUUAAGGCUCCUUUAUGUCGUAAGAGUACGGAAUGGAGGAAAAGGAUGAGUUCGAUGUUUGGUAAACGUCAAAAUGAGAAGAAAAGAUAAUCGUAUUUCCAUUUCCAUACCCUAAGUAAGAAACAUAUCGAUAAAUUUCCUCAAACUCGAAAAGUAAUACUUCACUUCGUAUUGGGCAAAAUGUAAUUUCUAUCGCUUAAUUAUACUUCUUGACGCGAAAAUAACUAUCUGCUUAAUUUACGUAACUGAGGGAGUUGCGGGAACAUAGUUAAUUAAUAAUAUAGUUAACGAUGGGUACACCUUUGAAAAAAAUGAAAAUUGAACUUUCGAAGAUUCAUCUGUCAAGUAAAUGUACAAUAUGAAUAAACUGGAUAGUAUAAACGUGUUAAUUCUGCAUUUUUUAAGACGAAAAGCCC